UGACGGUAAUUUUGCAGAAUGUAAACAAUUAAUCGAAAAAAUCAAUCGUUUUUCCGUUUGCUUAGUAAUUCGCCUCAGUUGUGCAGUUUUUGGCAUUAAAUUGUGUUAUUUUCGUGGUGGUAAACGUGCAAUCAAAUUAUGAACAAAAUAGUAGAAAAAAAUGGGAAACUCGUACAAGAUCGCUGCACUGGCCAAGAAAUCAAAAACGAUUUUAAUAUUCUUCCAAACUUUGGCGAAUUGUAACAACUUUAUCAAAGAAAUAAUAGAAAAAGAUCGACAAUUAUUGCAUCACUGCCAAAAACUGGGGAAAAUUAUAUUUUAAACUACAUGUACAAACAAUAAACGUAACUUUUCCCUACUUAAUACUUCUCGAUUUAAGGAAUAUGCCUAGAAGAUACCAAUUACGUGUUACAAAUUGGUGUAGUUUGAAUGAAAAUGCAGGUACUUAGUAAAAGGAAAAUAGGAAAAUUUGAUUGAUUAUCCCGUUCCUGGCACUGUUUUUAGCAAAAGUUAUUUCGGAAAAUAUGCUUGACACUUAAUGGAAAUUGGACUGACAGGAAUCAUCGGAAAGAGGCAGGCUGACAAACAUCAUUAUGUUUCAACUGUGCUGCCACGUCUACAUGUCAGUUUUUUAUGCGCAAUUUCUCUCUAUUUGUUUCAGUUUUAUUUAAUUUGGAUUAGCUCGUGUUAGUUUGAGUCAGUUUUGUUGCAUAUAAAUAAAAGAAAACAUUGCCAAUUCCAAA
Dendroctonus ponderosae (mountain pine beetle) is the source of this 743-nucleotide long non-coding RNA. RefSeq lists it as uncharacterized. NCBI's taxonomy places the organism in Eukaryota, Metazoa, Arthropoda, Insecta, Coleoptera, Curculionidae. The transcript is spliced from 2 exons. The record is from RefSeq and is a predicted model, not a curated record.